AUUGAACGCUGGCGGCAGGCUUAACACAUGCAAGUCGAGCGGAGAGAGGUAGCUUGCUACUGAUCUUAGCGGCGGACGGGUGAGUAAUGCUUAGGAAUCUGCCUAUUAGUGGGGGACAACAUUUCGAAAGGAAUGCUAAUACCGCAUACGUCCUACGGGAGAAAGCAGGGGAUAUUCGGACCUUGCGCUAAUAGAUGAGCCUAAGUCGGAUUAGCUAGUUGGUGGGGUAAAGGCCUACCAAGGCGACGACCUGUAGCGGGUCUGAGAGGAUGAUCCGCCACACUGGGACUGAGACACGGCCCAGACUCCUACGGGAGGCAGCAGUGGGGAAUAUUGGACAAUGGGCGGAAGCCUGAUCCAGCCAUGCCGCGUGUGUGAAGAAGGCCUUAUGGUUGUAAAGCACUUUAAGCGAGGAGGAGGCUACUUUAGUUAAUACCUAGAGAUAGUGGAUGUUACCCGCAGAAUAAGCACCGGCUAACUCUGUGCCAGCAGCCGCCGUAA
Molecule: ribosomal RNA, 501 nt
Filed under: uncultured bacterium
Lineage: Bacteria
Description: partial 16S ribosomal RNA
Rfam family: Bacterial small subunit ribosomal RNA
Source: RNAcentral